GACGAACGCUGGCGGCGUGCUUAACACAUGCAAGUCGAACGGAAAGGCCCUGCUUUUGUGGGGUGCUCGAGUGGCGAACGGGUGAGUAACACGUGAGUAACCUGCCCUUGACUUUGGGUUAACUUCAGGAAACUGGGGCUAAUACCGGAUAGGAGCUCCUGCUGCAUGGUGGGGGUUGGAAAGUUUCGGCGGUUGGGGAUGGACUCGCGGCUUAUCAGCUUGUUGGUGGGGUAGUGGCUUACCAAGGCUUUGACGGGUAGCCGGCCUGAGAGGGUGACCGGCCACAUUGGGACUGAGAUACGGCCCAGACUCCUACGGGAGGCAGCAGUGGGGAAUACUGCACAAUGGGCGGAAGCCUGAUGCAGCAACGCCGCGUGCGGGAUGACGGCCUUCGGGUUGUAAACCGCUUUCGCCUGUGACGAAGCGUGAGUGACGGUAAUGGGUAAAGAAGCACCGGCUAACUACGUG
Molecule: ribosomal RNA, 468 nt
Filed under: uncultured bacterium
Lineage: Bacteria
Description: partial 16S ribosomal RNA
Rfam family: Bacterial small subunit ribosomal RNA
Source: RNAcentral